GGGCUCCUAUGAGGUCCAGCACUGGGCUCCAAUCAGCCCUGAGGAUGCAGUGCUUCCCAGGACCUUUUGAUACCUGAGGGUUUGAGGGGUCC
This is a small nucleolar RNA of Rhinolophus ferrumequinum (greater horseshoe bat), 92 nucleotides long. NCBI's taxonomy places the organism in Eukaryota, Metazoa, Chordata, Mammalia, Chiroptera, Rhinolophidae. The record is from Ensembl.